AUGCCGGGGCUGGCUGAAGGAAGGGGCUGGUUGUCCCCCCCCCAGCCUGCCCCCCUGCCGCCGGGUGCCACCCCCAGCCGCCCGGUGGGCACGCAGGGCCCCAGACCCCUGCCCCAGCCGGCGCUGGCCCAGGGUUUCUCCGGGUGCCGAGUGCCCUCUGCCGGGAACCAGCGCGCCGGGCCCGAGCGGAGCGGAGCCCCCGCGGGUCGCCGGUGCCCUGGCGCGGGCCGAAGGGAAGGGCCGGGCGCCGGCAGAGCACGAGCAGGCCGAGCCGUCCCUGCCCUGUGCCACCGCCAGCUGCCUGCUCCGCUGCCGGCACCGUGCGCAGGAGGGGAAACUGAGGCAUGGUGGCCGCUGCCACCCGGGACGGGGUUAAAGGCGCUUGGUGCAGGGGGGCUGGCCCCAGGACGGCACGGCUGUGGCUUUCCUGGUGCAUCACUGCCGACACCCAAGGGACAAGGCUCUGGAUCUGGCGGACGGCGGGCACAGACCCCCGGCACAGAGACGGGGACAUCUGGGGACAGAGAGGGCCAGCAGCUGGGUCGGUUGGGCUACCAGGACGGGGGGCUUGUGGGAGUGGGAGAGCUUUGGGGGGGGGCUCCGUACACCCCUCGCGAGGCACCGCCAGCAGCCGGGCUGGGAGGGAGGACAGAGCCCGGGCCGGGGCCGGGAGAGAGGGGCAGCGAUUUGGGGCUGGAGGCGAGCGCUGCGGGAGCCGAGCUCUCCGGAAAAGCAGGGCUACGGGAGAGCAGCGAGGGGAAACCCACUGCCCGCCGGCUGCCCGGGGCCCUGCUACGGCAGCGACGUGCUCUCCCAUCGCCGUGCACGGCCGGAGAGCGAGAUAAAAAUAGCCCAGCUGGAGAAGCAGGCGCAGGCCGGAGGGCCGCGCUGGAUGCGGAUUUCGCCCGAGCGCACGAGGGGGUGGGAGCGCGGCACGGCCCGGGGAAAUGCCUCCCGCCUCCCCAAACGGGAAGCGUCGAGGUGCAAAGCUGCCUGUGCUAA
This 1002-nucleotide long non-coding RNA is filed under the name Apteryx haastii (Great spotted kiwi). Its description in RNAcentral is "lncRNA (ENSAHAG00000007120.1)". The record is from RNAcentral. Lineage: Eukaryota; Metazoa; Chordata; Aves; Apterygiformes; Apterygidae.